UCCGGUGCGCCCCCGGCGGCC
Molecule: small nuclear RNA, 21 nt
Filed under: Arabidopsis thaliana (thale cress)
Lineage: Eukaryota; Viridiplantae; Streptophyta; Magnoliopsida; Brassicales; Brassicaceae
Description: snRNA_12949
Source: RNAcentral